This 312-nucleotide unclassified non-coding RNA is filed under the name Hevea brasiliensis (rubber tree). Lineage: Eukaryota; Viridiplantae; Streptophyta; Magnoliopsida; Malpighiales; Euphorbiaceae. The record is from RNAcentral.
AGAGAGAGAGAGAGAGAGAAUUUGAUUGCUGGCUUGUCAUAGAUGCUUGAUGUUGAUAUCGAUGUCUUCAUGAUGUAGCAAGAGUAUCUUGUCAAUUUUUUUUGUCUUCUUGGUAUCUUAGAAGAAACAAGAAAUAGAUUCCUCAUGUUAAUGUGAAUAGUUAGGCACUUUCUAACAAAUAAUUGUGGCCAAAAGUAAUGAUUUUCCUGCAACUGAUCAAUCACAAGUAACACAAGUACGAGAUAUGAAAGAGUUUACAACAUACUGACCCUUUUUUGCUAGCGUUGCAGGGUAUUGGACCAAGGGUAUUAU